RNAcentral lists this unclassified non-coding RNA (209 nucleotides) under rhizosphere metagenome. Its description in RNAcentral is "partial ribosomal RNA internal transcribed spacer region". The record is from RNAcentral.
GUUGGUGAACCAGCGGAGGGAUCAUUAUAGAGUUAUAACAACUCCCAACCCAUGUGAACGUACCAUAUGUUGCUUCGGCAGGUCGCGGCCCACCCUACCCGGGCGCCGCGGUUCAGCCUGCCGGUGGCCUACGAAACUCUGUUUAAUAUUGAAACUCUGAAUCAUAACUAAAUAAGUUAAAACUUUCAACAACGGAUCUCUUGGUUCUG